Drosophila ananassae is the source of this 2229-nucleotide long non-coding RNA. RefSeq lists it as uncharacterized. NCBI's taxonomy places the organism in Eukaryota, Metazoa, Arthropoda, Insecta, Diptera, Drosophilidae. The transcript is spliced from 3 exons. The record is from RefSeq and is a predicted model, not a curated record.
CAAAAACCAAUUUAUAUUUUUUUAGAAGUUAAGUUAAUAUUUAGAAUUUACAUUGUUGUUCAUUUUAGACACAAGAUCAUGUCUGCAACAGCCACCUUGAAGCUUCCUGUGGAUGCCUCCAUAUCUAUUUGUAUUUACUAUUGAUUUGCCUUCAACUAUUGCCAUUUCCUCCAUUCAAGAGCUUCCUUCUACGCUAAUGUAUCUAAUAGAUACGCCCUGCAAUUCCCACAAUGCAAGGAAUCUGACAGCGAGGAGCAGAAAUGGAAACCAGUUGAAUGAGUGCGUGAUUCUAUCUUAUUCUGUUGCUUCCCAUUUCCCACUGAACGUCAAAGAUGAGUGGGUGGGAGGAUAGGUAGUGGGUGGCCAUGUAGGGGAACCGCAAGGUGACAGGGCGUUGGUGUCCUUGCCGCUUUUCCGGCAGACGGAUGAUAUAUCACAGACAUAGCCGAGCGGCAGGUCGGCAGACUUCACGCUCAUCAUCGCCUUUCUCAUUAAGAGCAGGUACUUCUUAAAAACGAUUUAAAACUCGAGAAUAUAAGAAGCAUUAAAUAAGUCGAAGUGCUACGAAGCUGUAUCAUACCAGCAACAUUUUAAGCACUUAUUUUGUGGUAUUCAAAAAAAUUUUCUGAGUGCACUUGGUGGCCAUCCUCAAAGAUGAAACAUAAACGGACAAAUGGCUAGGUAGAGGGGAUUAUUAAGCCUUUAGCCACGUGUCUUCUUCAGAACUCAUUCAACAUCACCUGGCGACAUAUAAAUGUGCGAUGAGCGCCUUUUAAGAGCUUUCAUAAAACUUGUCAAGUACCUGAAUGUAAAACUUUCCACACAUUAGCUAUAUUCUCUAGGACGAAGGGUAAAACGUUUGUCAAGGGAAAAAUAAUGAUUUUACAAUUUUUUACCAGUAGUUCCUCUCAAAUUUAAGUGCAGUAAAGCAACUACCAGGUACUCGCAUUAAUUAUGUUAAUUGAACUGUGGCAUUGUACCGGAAAAGGCCAGAGGGCCUGUGUCCUCGGAAGGCGGAAUCAUAUUGAGACGUCCCCGCAGAACCACAGACACAUAACUCAUAAUGACAUGAGAGUCUGUUGAGGCAAAGCCAAGUAUACCACCACAAUACCCCCCGUAGACAUGUAGGCGAGUCAUCAUUAAAACUUGUGGCAGGUUGCUGCGUGCAACGCGGCCCGAUUCCACCAAACUGGUCAAAUUCGAGCCAGUGAGAGAAAAAUGACAUAUACUUAUUAUAAUUCUUUACAAUAAACCAAUUUUAAGAAUUUUGAAUCAAGUAACCUUUUCUAAAUAACAUGUCUUUCUUGAGGGCUUGUUGAAAGCGAAACUAGAAUGCGUCUAAAUAUAAAAGCAACAUCUCAAAAUCUGAAAGGAUUGGUCUAUCUAUAAAUAGAACAAGGCCAACUCAUGGCCAAGGCCAAAAGCAAUCAGCGAAAUCAAUCAACGCAAAAAGCACAACAAUAAAAAAUGAAAAGCAAAAAAUUAUAAAAAAUGAGCAGCAAAAAUCUGUCUGAAAGGAUACCCACACCUUAUUCAUUCUCUUGCAUUGUGAGGCAAACAAUGCAUAAUUACUUAUAAUGAUUUUUUUUUUCUGUUGUGGACCUGAAGGGACUAUUCCAGAUUUCUUUUCUAGGCAAGUUAAUUCAAAGAUUUAUUCAAGGGAUUCCAAUUUGUCUGGAAUCAGCUUAUUCUGCUUUCAAUGAUUAUAAAAUAAUACAAAUUGAUUCGCCCAUCAUGCUUCGUUUAUUAAAUUUUACAACGUGGCACUCAAGAUAAGCUGAACAUAAUCCUUGAGCGCAUAAGUGGCACGUAGCAGGGAUUUAUCCCUGGCACGAGCUGUAAAUAAUAGCUCAUACUAUGAUGCACCUCCAAUGAGGUUAAUUUUCACACCUUUGUAAAUGGCUUAAUGCUAAUGAUUCGUAAUUAGUCACUGGUGUUUGCACAUCAAUUUUAAUCUUUUUAUGUCCAAAAUGUAUAUAUUUUCGCGCAUUUUCUGCAAUAUUUUGAUUAUUUUUUUUAAAGAAAUUUUGUGUAAAGACGAAAGGUGGGCAGGGAGAGUUUCCUUUCUUUACUUUGACUGGCUCUCACUUUCUCCGUCUACGUUUAUAGACAAAACGUGAGAGUCUACUAAGCCAUUUCACACGCAAAUUGUCCCCUUCUGUCCGGUGUUCAAUGUCCCCAAAGUGCAAAGUUCGGGUAAAAUGCGAAAAUGCAUUAAAUAUUUACCAA